UCGGGUGUCAAGAUCCGACAAUGCAUACCCACACCCAUGUCUGAUUACAAAGUUGUACGAGGCGGCUGAUAUACCUGAGGUUGCUAGCAUAGAUCAAGAUUUGCUCACCAAGAAACUUACAACCCCAUCCAAAAUGAUAAAAAUCAGCUGAGGCAGACACUUGACAAGUGAGUAGGGGUUGCAGAAGAUCCACUAGUUGCAGGUACUAGUUUAGCACCUACUAUGGAGGUGUAUGAUUUUGAGACUAUACAACAAACACCUUCAGCAUAAACAAAUUCAGUGCCUAAGAACGCACAAAACCCUUUAGGUGUUAUUGGAUCCACAAAAUUCACAUUCAA
This 338-nucleotide long non-coding RNA is filed under the name Capsicum annuum. Its description in RNAcentral is "long non-coding RNA (CANN_LNC003182)". Lineage: Eukaryota; Viridiplantae; Streptophyta; Magnoliopsida; Solanales; Solanaceae. The record is from RNAcentral.